CCUACGGGGGACAGCAGUGGGGAAUAUUGGGCAAUGGGCGCAAGCCUGACCCAGCAACGCCGCGUGAAGGAAGAAGGCUUUCGGGUUGUAAACUUCUUUUAAGAGGGAAGAGCAGAAGACGGUACCUCUUGAAUAAGCCACGGCUAACUACGGUCCAGAAAACGCGGUAAUACGUAGGUGGCAAGUGUUGUCCGGAUUUACUGGGUGUAAAGGGCGUGCAGCCGGGAAGACAAGUGCAGUGGUAAAUCCCGGGGCGCAACCCCGGAACUGCCUGUUAAACUGUUUUUCUUGAGUUCCGGAGAGGUUAUCGGAAUUCCUGGUGUAGAGGGGAAAAGCGGAGAUAGAAGGUAGAACAACCGGGGGGAAGGGGGAUGAAUGGACCGGGACUGAAGGGGAGGCGCGAAAGCCUGGGGAGCAAACAGGAUUAGAUACCCGAGUAGUC
This 442-nucleotide ribosomal RNA is filed under the name uncultured bacterium. RNAcentral describes it as "partial 16S ribosomal RNA". It matches the Rfam family "Bacterial small subunit ribosomal RNA", at positions 338 to 795 of the family's 1533-position model. The record is from RNAcentral.